GCCUGAUGGCAUCAUCUGAGAUCAGGAUCCAGGAGGCAGGUGUUGGUGACAGCCAGCGAGGGCAUCUGAUACCUUCCUGAUCAGCUGCUGUAGGUGUCAGUGGCAAAGCAGGGAGGAAAUGACAAUCAGGCCCCUCCAGUGCAGCUCAGGGAGGAGGCUCUCCUCUUGUCGGCGCCUCCCGUUGCCCUUCUUGGGAGGUCAGGCACAGGCCUCUCCAUGGUCACGUGGCCUCCCGUAUUGCUAAAGUUGCUGCCUAGAGGGGUGAGAGCUCGCCCCAUUUCGCCAAACGGAGCCAGAGUUCACAUUGGUGGCUCUCACACGGCUGGACCAUUUGAGCUCCUCUCUGCCCACUGGUGCCACCGUCCUGGCACUGAGGGCUUCCCAGGCAUAGAAGUGGUGCUAGCACUGCCAAACCUGCCUGGUGGAGCACAGUCUGGACCCGAAGAGCCAGUGGUGAGAGGGGAAAGGGGAAGGAAAACAGAGAAGCAAAGGAUCUAGAAGAAACAGCCCAGCAAAGCACCAGGCA
This 526-nucleotide long non-coding RNA is filed under the name Fukomys damarensis (Damara mole-rat). RNAcentral's name for it is "lncRNA (ENSFDAG00000033049.1)". Lineage: Eukaryota; Metazoa; Chordata; Mammalia; Rodentia; Bathyergidae. The record is from RNAcentral.